UAAAGAAGCUAGGACGUUACAGCAAUAGCGCUCGUCUCACCCCUCCUACUCCACUAAUUCUAGUUCGUUUUUCGCUUCGACUUACACACAAAACUUGCUCAUAAUUUCAUGGGCAUUUCAUUCAGCCGUAGAUCACCCACGAGGAAGCACCCCGAUGUCUCCGAUAAUAUACGUUCGUCGACCUGCACAUCGCUGAUUUCACGAAGAGUGACGGGAUAGUUUAUCAAGGAAAUAAUAUGAGUUGCUAAGUUCACAAGAUAACUACUCUUCACCAAAGAAAGGCAAGUUACACAUGAUCUUUUGUCCUACUAUUUUUGAUAUGCAUGGUUUUACAAAUAUUUUCGUAGAAAUGCAUGUGUAGGAAAUUAUGCUUUGCUAUCCUAGUAGAGAGCCAUAGGAUAUCUUACCAUGUUCAUUGUAGCCCUUUUAUUAAAGUGCGUAUAUUGUAUGAGUGCUUAGCCAAUUGCUUGGUAGACGUGGGAUAUGGGUUUUCAAAGAAAAAAAUCAUUUAUGAAAAUUGACAUGCGCCCAUUCUAGGGUGGUAUGGUGAAAAUAUUUUUUUUUAAAAUAAAACUUAUCAAAAUGUUUUCCUCUGGGCGGAGUGGUAUGUUGGGAGCGUCUACAAGAGCUGCAUCCAGUGAGUGGCUCUGCAGACUCAGGUUUUGGUGGGGACCGCCGCCCAGGGUCAAAGAGAUCUUUAAAGUUUCAGUUGAAGAAGCUUCCAGUACAACCACAUGCUAUAUGGACUCUGGCUUAGUCGUACAUAGAGGGAAACCCUUGCAUCGGUACCGCCAUUGGAGAGGGGUCUUCGGAUCAUAGUUGCGGGCGGACUGGGAUUAUGUAUAGGGGGCUUCUAUGGAAAACUUCGUCAUGAUCCAUGCCCGGUUAAGCCAAAUGAAGGAUACAACAAAAAGGAUGGAUUGUGACAUGUGAGGAAAGUGUACAACCUCUGCAGAGUGUAUGAUCUAAUCGAUUAGCCGUGCUCCCGGAUAUGAGCAAUUUGAGCAACUGAAGAUUGAAGCGGAUGAAGGAUCUCCUAUGUUUUCAAAACCUUUUCAAAAAUUGUUUUGGUAUCAUAAGUUUAUCCAGUGAGUGGCUAUGAACUUAGGAUUGCCCGAACUGUUUUGCAAUUACUACUUUCAUACAGUGAGUGGCUCUGAAUGUAGUGUUGCCUAAAAAUGUAAUGCAUGCUAACUCUAUCCUGAGUGGCUCUGGAGUUAGUUUAGCUUGUUUUGGGGAUGUGAUGUAGGAUGGUGAACCUUGGUGGAUUCCUUGUGUUUGUCCAGCCCUAUAUUAUUUUGUUUUAAAAUAUAUAAAGACAAAGAAAGUUUUUAAAAAGAUUUUCACAAAACAAAAUUGGCUUUACGCAAAAUAAACCAUGAGCCUUCCUUUGACAUACCUUUGCAUGUAUAAAAAUAUAAACCACUUUGCAACUUGUGUAACUUGCCAAUACAUUCAAAGUAUUGACCAAAUGUUUUUGGCUGUAACUUUACCUGUUGCACAUGACGAGUAAGGACGAUAGGAUCGCAAGGCCUACACUCAACAAGCCAUGUGGCGUUGAUGGAGCCCAAGUUUGAUGUUAUGCUUAUGUUUCCGCUGUUAUGUGAGCCAGCCACUAUGUUGUGCAAGGAUGUAAUAAAUAUACUCUGGAUAUUUCGGUUGUAAUAAAAUGACGUAUGUUAUCUUGAUAUUCAUUUGUUA
Non-coding RNA from Lolium perenne, 1701 nucleotides. Lineage: Eukaryota; Viridiplantae; Streptophyta; Magnoliopsida; Poales; Poaceae. The record is from RefSeq and is a predicted model, not a curated record.